Molecule: long non-coding RNA, 903 nt
Organism: Ruditapes philippinarum (Manila clam)
Lineage: Eukaryota; Metazoa; Mollusca; Bivalvia; Venerida; Veneridae
Exons: 3
Source: RefSeq, a predicted model, not a curated record
ACUAAUUCUAAGGCUGUAGUUAUCGACACAUGGACGCAAUUAUCGACAGAUGUAUUGAUGUAAGCAGAGAUAGUAAAGACUGUGAUGGAUAAUGAGUUUAUUAAAGGCAGAAGACUUGUCUGAGACAGUUGAAGUAUAUGUAGUUGCUACUAUAAGCUCAGAGUCAGAUGGACCCACUUGCCUUCAGGAGAUAUUAAGGGGAAAAGGCCUGAUCACUUAAGAACUUAGUCAAAAUCUCUUUCUUGGAUAGUGAAUAACCUGAAAUAUAAAAUAAAGAUUCAUAGUCAUGGCAAAUGAGUUUAAAUAGAUGAAGAACAUAUUAAUAUAUAUAAGGACAUUUGUUUUGAAAUAUUUAGUAAAGAAGUUAUCAAAAUUACAUACAUUUGUAGUAUAAAAUACAUGAAUCAUAACAUCAUUAAAAGGUGCACUUCAUAGAUUAUUUCAGCAUAUAAUUUUUGUUUUCUGAUUUCAACAGAGUAUAUUCCAAAUUCAAGGUAAAACUUUUGCCAUCAGAUUUGCAUAGUUUAUAAAUUUGAGCUUUCUCCUCAGCAGAAGUCGAAACUGAAGGAGGUCCGGGCCUUGUUGGCAUUUCAGGAACUCUUCCCAAAUGGUUAUCUAAAAGGGUGGUCCUUGGAACCCCAUAUAGCCUGGCAGCCUUUACCUUCGACAUCCCAUUACAUCUCAUAGUUGACUUCAACUUCCCCUCAUUUUGGGUGGCAAGUAUUGGACCCUCUUAUGAUUUUGAGAUGACAUCUAGAACAGGAGUAAUAUUCUUUCAUGACUGUAUUGAAACCUAUCAUCUUUAUGACUUUAAAGUUUAAAAUUUGUCUGAGGUAGAACUAAAUGUUUACUGUUGAACAUUAUAUGUAAAUGGAUAAUUGAAUAAAACAUUGAUAUACUAUA